This 486-nucleotide ribosomal RNA is filed under the name uncultured bacterium. Its description in RNAcentral is "bacterial SSU rRNA". It matches the Rfam family "Bacterial small subunit ribosomal RNA", at positions 30 to 511 of the family's 1533-position model. The record is from RNAcentral.
AUUGAACGCUGGCGGCAUGCUUUACACAUGCAAGUCGAACGGUAACAGGUCUUCGGAUGCUGACGAGUGGCGAACGGGUGAGUAAUGCAUCGGAACGUGCCCAGUCGUGGGGGAUAACGCAGCGAAAGCUGUGCUAAUACCGCAUACGAUCUAUGGAUGAAAGCGGGGGAGUCGAAAGACCUCGCGCGAUUGGAGCGGCCGAUGUCAGAUUAGCUAGUUGGUGGGGUAAAGGCUAACCAAGCCAACGAUCUGUAGCUGGUCUGAGAGGACGACCAGCCACACUGGAACUGAGACACGGUCCAGACUCCUACGGGAGGCAGCAGUGGGGAAUUUUGGACAAUGGACGCAAGUCUGAUCCAGCCAUUCCGCGUGCAGGAUGAAGGCCCUCGGGUUGUAAACUGCUUUGUACGGAACGAAAAGGUUUCUCUUAAUACGAGGAGCUCAUGACGGUACCGUAAGAAUAAGCACCGGCUAACUACGUGCCAG